Molecule: long non-coding RNA, 20947 nt
Organism: Pan troglodytes (chimpanzee)
Lineage: Eukaryota; Metazoa; Chordata; Mammalia; Primates; Hominidae
Exons: 2
Source: RefSeq, a predicted model, not a curated record
UUUUUUUCAGAUGGAGUCUCACUGUGUCACCCAGGCUGGAGUGCAGUGGCAUGAUCUCAGCUCACUGCAACUGCCACCUCCUGAGUUCAAGCGAUUCUUCUGCCUCAGCCUCCCGAGCAGCUGGGACUACAGAUCGAGAUUUUCUUAAUGGACCAGAGCAACAUUGGAUUUGGAUUUUUUUUUUUUUUGAGUUUAUUGGAAACUUUUCAACCAAGCUGCUAAGGAGAGGGAAGCACACAAGCAAGGCCACUGCCAAACUCUGGAGAAAAGGAAGAAAUCAGUGUGUCUGUGAGUACAUCAGAAUCUUCACAAGACAGGCAGGCAACUGAUCUGGGAAUGAGGAAGCCUGCCUCCUAACAUGUUCUUGGCUCUACCACUAACUAGCUGUGUGACCUUGGCCAAGCUCCUUUCAUUUCCUGAGCCAAGCUUCUCACUUCUAAAAUGUAUGGAAUCAGAGCUCUGGUAGCCCAUAGAUGUGAUUUAUUUGAUUCACAUAGCACUUGCCCUUCCUUUUUUCCUUUCUUCUUGCUUUGAAUCAAAUAAUCUUGAACAUUAAACCAGCCCCUCGUGAGAAAUUAGAUCUGCCGAUUCAGUGCCUGGGUACUCACAUGGCAAAAGCAACUGAAACUCAGUGGUGCUGUCCCUUUUACAUGGGGCAGAAACUCUCUUGAUUGCCACAGUACCCUCUGGGUCCCCUUCAGCAUUCAUGUCUCUGACCUUAGUAAGCACUUGGUUUUGCGACCUAAGGGAUUUUAAGCUUUGAGAUCAUUAUGAUGCCUUCCUUUCAUCUCAAUAAGCCUGUAAUUCUCAAUGGGCAAACCAAUAAUUAUAUCUUAUUUACAUUACCAUUUCAGCAGCCAGGCAAAUGAGCUGGAAAACCUUAGAACAAGACCAGACUUAAUUAACAUAACCAGAAAUUAUUUCUUCCCCAGAUUUUCCUUGUAGGUGGCAGAAUUUCUAUACCAUGUAUCUUUCUACAUCCUUCUUUGGAAAUGCUGGCUUUCCCUUUUAACUAUCAUAUCCUCGUAACCAGAUGAUGUACUUAAAAAAACUGGCCUCCUGCCCUCCUUUAAAACUGGUUCUUCUUUUGAACUGCCAACAUAUGCAACUUUAAAACUCACAAUGCCAUUGCUUGAAAAUUUAACCACCUCCAGCUCACAUAAGUCCUAAAAUGAUCUCCUAAUCCUUUGGGAAAAAAGUAAAGAGAUCAAUAAGAUUUUCUUUUUUUCCUCACUCCACUUCCCAUGUAUUACUGUACAUCCUCCCCCAGUUUUCAUCUCAAUGCACUUGCUCGCUUUCCUUUUCCUUAUUUUCCUUCCUUUUACUCCUACACACCUCCCCUUCUCCAUGACUGUGGCCUGUCUGCCUCUACUCGGUCCAUUUUGCCUUCUCAUCUCCCUUAAUGACAGAGGACAGAAAGGAAACAAAAAAACAUUUACAUGGAACCUGCUUUCAAAUAGUUUUUUUAUGUUAAGUUCAGUGUCACAGGGAUAUUUAACUUGUUUUAAAUUUGUGUGUGUGUGUGUAUGUUUUAACCAAACAAUGCUCUCUGCAACAUUAUAGUUUUAAGUGAAAUUGAAGUUACAAAAAGUGUUGCUGAAGGUAAGAAGUUUUCUGUUAACAUUUUUCAAAUACACCUAUGGAAGGAAUCUUGGAGACUAUGAUGAAAAGAUUUUCUUAGUGUUUAGGGCUGAUAAUCUUAUGGGAGCUCCUAGUUUGUUUAAUUGCAUUUGUGCUCACAUUCUCUAAAUGACUGACAUUCCUUUGUUUUUGAACAGUGAUUCUUUGAAGCAUUGUAAAAAUCAACCAUUUCCCCUUGUCAGGUAAAUUACUAUUUUCUAUGUUGCUCUUUAUUUUAAUGCAUAGGACUUAUGCAUUAGGGAAAGAAGUCUAUUUUCUGCAAAGGAAAAGAAGCCUAUUUGGGUGUUAUGAAUAAAAAAGCACGAUGAAUGCUGAUCUUAUUGUUUCUACUUUGAUGUUAGCAGAGGUUAAUUUUAGGGUGGAGACAUUCUUUUUGUUGGAACAAGUGUUGAUUUCUGUAGGUGCUGAUAGUGUGUCCCCAGUGCCAUGGCUCAGUGGGAAAGGGUUAUGUUUUCAUAUAUCAAAGGGAUAACAAAGUAGAUGUGGGUCUCCAGGCAGCAUUUAAUCUGGAAUGAUGUAAGGCUGUCUACAGCAAUUCUGGUUUGCGAUCAGGGUCAGAGCUUCCAUUUUGCUCUCAUGCAGAUUCUACCCAUCAGACAAAACAAAUAAAAAACAAAACCAUUUUCACAAACCUCUCUCCCCCAAGCAGAAGAUGUUAUUUUUCAUUGGCUUGUUUCUUGAUAAGUUACAAAUCUAAUUAUAUUGACUUAUAGCUUUACCUUAUAUGGAGAGAUAAAUUUAACAAACCUUACUAGAUCUCCCAACCAGUGCAAAGUGACAAUUAAUUUGUGGUGUGUCAAGAGAAAAAAAAUGCUUGCAUAUUUUUUAAAAUUUGGAAAGGCACUAUCAUGAAGUAGUAAGGGCCUAGGUUCUAGAGCCAAAUGCCUUUGAUUUGAAUAUUGGGAUCAUUUUUGGUUUUAAUAUGGUUCAGUCACUUAUGAAAUGUGUAAUCUUGACUAAGGAACCUGUCCUCUGUGGGUAUCAGCUUUCUAACUUGUAAAAUACGGAUAAUACUACAUUUAUAUUUCAUAGGUUUACUGUAACGAUUAAAUGUGCUAAUUUCACCCCACUGACAAUAUAAGAUAGAUUAUUGAGACAGAAAAUUAAUAAAGAUAUUCAGGAUCUGAACUCAGGUCUGGAUAAAGCAGACCACCAAAAACAACAGAAUAUACAUUCUUCUCAUCAGUACAUGGCACUAACUCUAAAAUUGAUCACAUAAUUCGUAGCAAAAUACUCCUCAGCAAAUGCAAAAUGCAAAACAACACAAAUUAGAACUCAAGAUUAAGAAACUCACUCAAAACCACACAACUACAUGAAAACAACCUGUGCUUGAAUGAAUUCUAGGUAAAUAAUGAAAUUAAGGCAGAAAUAAAGAAGUUCUUUGAAACUAAGAGACAAAGAGACAAUGUGCCAGAAUCUCUGGGACACAGCUAAAGCAGUGUUAAGAGAGAAAUUUAUAGCAUUAAAUGCUCACAUCAAAAGCUAGAAAGAUCUCAAAUCAACAACAUAACAUCUCAACUAAAAGAACCAGAGAAGCAAGAGCAAACAAACCACAAGGCUAGUAGAAGACAAGAAAUAACCAAUAUUAGAGUGGAACUGAAGGAGAGAGAGAUAUAAAAAACUGUUCAAAAGAUGAAUGACUCUAAGGGCUGUUUUAUGGAAAAAAAUUAAUAAAAGAGACCACUAGCUAGACUAACAAAGAAGAAAAGAGAGAAGAAUCAAAUAGACAUAAUCAGAAAUGAUAAGGGGGACAUCACUACUGACACCAGAGAAAUACAAACAACCAUCAGAGAAUACUAUAAACAACUCUAUGCACAAAAACUAGAAAAUCUAGAAGAAAUCGAUAAAUUCCUGGACACAUACACCCUCCCAAGAUUAAACCAGGAAGAAAUUGAAUCCCCGAAUAGACCAAUAAUGAGUUCUGAAAUUGAGGCAGUAAUAAAUAGGCUACCAACCAAAAAAAGCUCAAGACCAUACAAAUUUACAGCUCAAAUCUACAAGAGGUAGGAAGAAGAGGUAGUACCAUUUCCACUAAAACUAUUCCAAACAAAUAAAAAGGAGGGAUUCCUCCUUAACUUAUUCUAUGAGGCCAGCAUCAUCCUGAUACCGGCAGAGAUACAACAACAAAGAAAGAAAACUUCAGGCCAAUAUCCCUGAUGAAUAUUGAUGCAAAAAUCUUCAAUAAAAUACUGGCAAACCAAGUCCAGCAGCACAUCAAAAAGCUUAUUCACUAUGGUCAAGUUGGCUUCAUCCCUGGGAUGCAAGGUUAGCUCAGCACACACAAAUCAAUAAAUGAAAUUCAUCACAUUAACAGAGCUAAAGACAAAAAAUACAUGAUCAUCUCAGUAUACACAGAAAAGGCAUUCAAUAAAACUCAACAUUCCUUCGUGUUUAAAACUCUCAAUAAACUAGGUAUUGAAGGAACAUACCUUAAAAUAAUAAGGGCCAUAUAUGACAAACCCACAGCCAAUAUCAUACUGAAUGGGGAAAAUCUGGAAGCAUUCCCCUUGAAAACUGGCAGAAGACAAAGAUGUCCUCUCUCACCACUCUUAUUCAACAUAAUAUUGGAAGUUCUGGCCAGAGCAAUCAGGGAAGAGAAAGAAAGAAAGCGUAUUCAAAUAGGAAGAGAGGAAAUCAAAUUAUCUGUAUUUGCAGAUGGCAUGAUCUUAUAUCUAGAAAACCCCAUCUUCUCAGCACCAAAGCUUCUUAAGCUGAGAAGCAACUUCGGCAAAGUCUGAGGAUACAAAAAUCAGUGUGCAAAAAUCACUAGCAUUCAUAUAUACCAACAAUAGGCAAGCAGAGAGCCAAAUCAUGAAUAAACUCUUACUCACAAUGGCUACAAAUAAAAUAAAAUUCCUAGGAAUACAGAUUAUGUGGGAAGUGAAGGACAUCUUCAAGGAGAACUACAAACCACUGCCCCCAAAAUUAAAGAGGACUCAAACAAAUGGGAAAACAUUCCAAACUCAUGGUUAGAAUCAAUAUCAUGAAAAUAGCCAUAUUGUCCAAAGUAAUUUAUAGAUUCAAUGCUAUUCCCAAUAAACUACCAUGGAGAUUCCAUAGAAUUAGAAAAAACUAUUUUAAAAUUGAUAUGGAACCAAAAGAGAGCCUGUAUAGUCAAGAUAAUCCUGAGCAAAAAGAACAAAGCUGGAGGCAUCGUGCUACCUAACUUCCAACUAUACUACAAAGCUACAGUAACCAAAACAGCAUGGUAAUGGUACCAAAGCCAACACAUGGACCAAUGGAACAGAAUAGAGAACUCAGAAAUGAGACCGCACACCUGCAACCAUCUGUUCUUCCACAAACCUGACAAAAACAAGCAAUGGGAAAAGAAUUCCCUAUUUAAUAAAUGGUGCUGGGAAAACUGGCUAGUCAUAUGCAGAAAACUGAAAAUUGACCCCUUCUUACCCCUUAUACAAAAAUGAACUCAAGAUGGAUCAAGACUUAAAUGUAAAACCCAAAACUGUAAAAACCCUAGAAGAAAAUCUAGGCAACACUAUUCAAAACAUAGGCACAAGCAAAGAUUUCAUGAAGAAAACACCAAAAGUAAUCGCAAUAUAAGCAAAAAUUGACAAACAAGAUCUAAUAACUAAAGGGCUUCUGCACAGCAAAAGAAACUGUCAUCAGGGUGAACAGACAAUCUACAGAAUGGGGGAAAAGUUUUGCAAUCUAUCCAUCUGACAAAGAUUUAAUAUCCAGAGUCUACAAGGGACUUAAACAAAUUUACAAGAAUAAAACAAUCAACCCCAUUAAAAAGUGGGUAAAAGGCAUGAACAGACACUUCUCAAAAGAAGACAUUCAUGUGGCCAUAAACAUAUGAAAAAAAGCUCAAUAUCACUGAUCAUUAGAUAAAUGCAAAUCAAAACCACAAUGAGAUACCAUCAGUCAUAAUGGUGAUUGUUAAAAAGUCAAGAAGGCCAUGUUGGAAGUGUAAACUAGUUCACCCAUUGUGGAAGACAGUGUGGCGAUUCCUCAAAGACCUAGAGGCAGAACUAUCAUUUGACCCAGCAGUCUCAUUACUGGGUAUAUACCCAAAGGAAUAUGAAUCAUUCCAUUAUAAAGAUACAUGUACAUGUAUGUUCACUGAAGCACUAUUCACAAUAGCAGAGACAUGGAAUCAACUCAAAUGGCCAUUAAUGAUAGAUUGGAUAAAGAAAAUGUGGUACAUUUAUACCAUGAAUAUUAUGCAGCCAUAAAAACAAAAAAACAAAAAACAAGAUUAUGUCCUUUGCAGGGACGUGGAUUGAGCUGGAAGCCAUUAUCCUCAGUAAACAAAUGCAGGAGCAGAAAACCAAACACCGCAUGUUCUCAGUUAUUAGUGGGAGCUGAAUGAUGAGAAGACAUGGACACAUUGACGGGAGCAACACACACUGGUGCCUGUCAGGGGCCCUGGGAAGGGAGAGCAUCAGGAAGAAUAGCUAAUGGAUGCUGGCCUUAAUACUUAGGUGAUGGGUUGAUCUGUGCAGCAAACCACCAUGGCACACGUUUACUUAUGUAACAAACCUGCACAUCCUACACAUGUACCCUGGAACUUAAAAGUUGAACAAAACAAAACAAAACAAAAAUAAAUGUGUUAAUUCAUGUGAAGGACUUAGAACAGUGCCUUAUGAUUCAUUAAAUCAACUUUCAUUAUAUCAAACCACCUCAUAGUUUGGCUUACAUUCUAUUUUCUUGGAUAGUGUCCAUUAAGAAAGUUAAUACUACCCAUAACAUUUUUAGUUUAUCUAUGGUAAAUGCUGCAGGUAACAUGCUGCAUUCACUUCUGCCCCAGAAGACUUGCUUGUCUCCUUUCUGUGAUUGGAACAUAAUUAAAUAAUUGUAAUACUUUCCCCAUCUUCACUUGAAGCUGGUGUUGGAAUGGCCUAAACAUGCUGUAUCUUGAAGAGGAUAGAUAUGACAUAAACAAUAUAUUUGGGGUCAAGGUGACUGAAACCUGGUAAGCCCAAAGAAAGUCUGGAGUUGCAUAUCCAAGCAUACUAAGAAUCCGCAGGAGAAAGAUUAAGAUUUCUGGAAAACAUCCCUAAGAACAAACACUUUGACCUGUAAUGAAGUUCUUAGAAUCACUUCUCCAGCUUCUCCUAUAAAUGUCUAUCUCAACCAUUUUUAAGUGCAGAUUUCUAAAAUGGUGAGUAGAAGGAGCUAAAGUGGGAGACAAGUGAAAUUAUCUUCAAUUGUGGAUGUGGAUUUUUAUCAGAAAAUCUUGGUGAAAGCUUCUGCUCUUGGAAGUUGGUCUCGAGAUGUUUAAUUUGUUUCCUACAAUUAUUAAGUUCCUUAAGAUUUUCCAAGCUAGAUUGAUUUCUUUCAUUUUUACUUUGAUGACUCCAGGGAUGCCAUACUAUGAAGAAGUAACCCCAAUAAUGGUACUAUAUUUUUUAAAAUGAAAUUAACUAAUGUACGUGAAAGGGCAUGUCAGACUCUAAAAUCUACACUGAAAAUUAUGCCUUGUUUUUCAGUCAUCCACCCUUUGUAAAGCCACCACUCUCUUUCAAGAUAUGCUAAGUGAGGGACUUUGCCUGUGUUAGUUCUCAUCCAUAUGCUCAAACUUGCAAAAUAGGAAUAAUAAUACUGCUUUUCAGAUGAGGAAGCUGAGACUCAGAGAGGUUAAAACAACUUACCCCAGACUUAAUUGCAAUUUAUUUUAUAAUGAUUAAGGGAUAUUCUUUUUAUACACAUUGUAUGAAAAUGACUGCUAUUGGAUUACUUAUUUUUCACCACGUUUGCCAAAACACAUUUUCUUAAUAUGGUCAUUUCAAAAAGUACAGUGAAAUUCUCAAAUAGCUUAAAAAAUUAAUUUCCCAACUCCUUUCCAUUUUCUUUCUGCUUAAUCUAGCUGGGCAAGUAGAAUCUUCAGACUCACCAGUUAUUCCUACUCUGUCCAACUGCUUGGCUAUCACUUAACACAAGCUCUUUCCGGAGCUCCAGCUGGAUUCCUUGCAGAAUUUGGGGCUUAUUUCUAUCUGGCAGCCUCGACCAUAAAACUGAGAAACACUUUUAUUCUUCUCUUAAUGAAUGGAAAAUUUCCUUUAUUUUUAAACUCAACAUAACUCCCAGAUAUCUACCAGGCUUUGUAAAUUUUUAACUUAGAUAAUACACAAUGCCCAGUAAGUACCUUGAAAUGUUAAGUAUCGGCCAGACUCGAUGAAAUAACUACAGACACAUCAUGAUGUUGCUCAUUUUUCUGUAAUGAUUGUGCCUCAUAAGACCAAAGGGUAGUCUGAAGUUGUGAACUGUCUUCAGGGCAGAACUGAUCUAUAGAAGGAGAAAAUCAAAUAUGAUAUGGUCAUAUUAGGGAUGCUGGGGACAGUUGUGAGUGCUAUUCAGAAUUCUGAGAGCUAGUUACAUCUUUUAAAACCUAUGCCACAGAAGUAUAAUUUUCCCAUGUCUUUUAUAAACAUUGGAAAUACCAUAUGAUGGCUUUUAAUCCAUAGGAGGGCAAUGUUGAGCUUCAGGAAAAUCCUUCCAGAUUUUUUUUUUCAAAAGAACGUAUAGAACUGAUUAAUUUAAAAAUUAAUGAAUUGAAACAAAUUAACUAAUUUAAAUAUAUUACAAGAUGACAGUUAUUUAAUAAUAUCCCAUGUCACAUACUGACUGGCUUCAUGUUUGUCAUACUGAUAGUUAAUUUGUAAACUGAUGUAAAUUAUCCUUGUCACUUGAAGCCAAACCACUGCUGUCUCAUUUGAGGAGGCUGCAUUCUUGUCUGUGCAGCUUUUCUUUAUGUUGGAUGUUGGACAAGCUUAAAUUAUUUACAAAUAGACUAGUACUCUGAUAUUUUUAUGCAUGAUUUGCUGAUGAUAGCGCUGCUUAAAAAGAUAAGAAUUCCUACAGUUCAGAUUUCUCAUCUUCUGUGACACCUCUCUUUGGAUCAGAAUUUGAGGUGGCCCUUGGCCAAAUGCCAUCAUGAAGCUCUUAAAGCCAAAUGCCAUCAUGAAGCUCUUAAAGAGUUAACUAAAUGUUAUGUUUAAAGCGAGUUAUUUAUUUAUUUAUUUUUAUUUUUGCCCAGGCUGGAGUGCAAUGGCACAAUCUCAGCUCAUUGCAACCUCUGCCUCCCAGGUUCAAGAGAUUCUCCUGCCUCAGCCUCUUGAGUAGCUGGGAUUACAGGCACACGCCACCACACACGGCUAAUUUUUGUAUUUUUAGUAGAGACAGGGUUUCACCAUGUUGGUCAGGCUGUUCUCGAACUCCAGACCUCGUGAUCCACCUGCCUUGGCCUCCCAAAGUGCUGGAAUUAUAGGCAUGAGCCACCGUGCCCAGCCUUAAAGCGAGUUAUUAACAUUAAGAACAAGACAAAACUAAAUUUCAGCCCAAUUGUAAGAUAUCAAAGUGGUUCAUAUGUCAGAAUUGUUUCUAUAAAAGGAAUCAUGGACCAAUAUAGCACACUGUCAUUUUAACCUGUAUCUGAAGGAAGUCUAUUUUGAAUAAUUGAAGCAAGUAUUAUAAUUUAAAUAUAAUUAUGUGUUUUGUGGGAAAGUAGCAAAUUCUGUAGUGUUGUGAAGACAUCAGAAUUUCCUAGAUUGAAAAAGUAAUUUGUCCUUCCUCUGAACUUAUAUAUCUCCAUUUACUAGAACAUAGUGAUAAAUGUUUGUUUGUUGCUGUGCUAAGGCACAUUCUAGCCAUAGGAGCAUGAUGUAUCUCAUCUCAGGGUUGUUCCUGAGUCUAAAGAACCAGUUAACGACUGGGUCAGUAACAAUAAUAGCUAAUGUUUACUAGAUGCUUACUAUAUGCCAAACACUAUAAUCUAAAUAUUGUUAUUGGUUUAUUUAAAACUUCACAACAAUAGCAUAAAUUCUAUUGUUAACAUAAUUUUCUAUAUGACGAAAUGCACUUCAGAGUUAGUUUAAGUUUAAAUAAUGUGUGGUGGGGCAUGGUGGCUCACGCCUGUAAUCCCAGCACUUUGGGAGGCUGAGGCGGGUGGAUCACGAGGUCAGGAGAUCGAGACCAUCCUGGCUAACACAGUGAAACCCCGUCUCUACUAAAAAUACAAAAAAUUAGCCGGGUGUGGUGGUGGGCGCCUGUAGUCCCAGCUACUCGGGAGGCUGAGGCAGGAGCAUGGCGUGAACCCAGGAGGCGGAGCUUGCAGUAAGCAGAGAUCGCCCACUGCACUCCAGCCUGGGUGACAGAGGGAGAGUCCGUCUCAAAAUAAUAAUAUAAUAAUAAUAAUAAUAAUAAUAAUAAUAAUAAUAAUAAUAAUGUGUUUGAGCUCACAAAACUUCCUAAGAGACAGAACCAGGCACACUCCAGGGGACUUGCUUCUCAUCACCACUUCUAGGUUAAAAGUGGAGUGCAUCAAAGACUAGGAUAGCUGAUGCACAAUGUUGAAUAUUUACUCAGUAUCUUUUGUUUAAUGUGAUGCUUCUGGGUGGAUGGGAAUUGUUAAGAGCACCAAUGAUAAACAUCAUUAUAGAAUUUACUAUUUAAAUCUACCUGCAUGCCUUAACAUUUGUGAUGCCAAGUUUUUGUUUUUGAAAUAAGAUAAUAGUGUAAUAAAUGAUUUAUAAUCUCAUGAAGGAUGGAAAUUAUAUCUUACAAUUCUCUGUAUGUUCCAUCAUAUACAAUCCAAUAGCAUAAAUAUGUGACAGAUUUGGAAAAUAAUUGAUGACUGAAACAUUUAUGUAUGGCAAAGGGGCGGGUAACUGUAAAGUCAAAUGCAGAAACUACUGACAUACAAUCUUUAGUCCAUAGUUUAGGUCUGAGUAAUAUCUAUAGGGAAUAUAUUCUGCUUAUUUACAACCAAGAAGAAUGGCUUGGGUCUGAACUUCUGAUGAAUCACUUCAACCUUAUCAGAAAGAGUGGAUGUUAGAUAAAUGGUCAGCAGUUUUGUUUUUCUUUCUAGUUACUUGCUUUAAAAAAGAUCUAACUUUUCAUUUGGAACUUUAUAAUGAUAAUGGUAAUUUAAAUCCCAUGUAAUUUUCUAAAUGGACAUUGUUAACAUAUCUGCAGAGAGCUCUAUUUGACAAGGUGAUUUUAAUUUAAAAACUCUUACCUAGAAGCAAGUAGCACUUAUAUGAUUUUUGUAAAUUUUAGUCCAACACUGAAUGCUCACCUUAGAAAGUAUAUAUAUUUAAUAAUCUUAUGACAUCUAGAACUCUGCAUCAAACAACAUUUUUAAAGAAAUUUUAUGCAGAGGUUAGUAUAUAGUAAAACAAAGAAGCCUUUCACUGGAAAAAGUAUUAGUUGCAACUUAAAAGUGUGUGUGUGUAUUUAUGCGUGAUAUUGUAAAGGAAAAUAAAUGUAGAAUCAAACACAAAGUAAGGGAUAUUGAUUUUAAAGAAAGGGGAAAUGUAAAGAAUGAAAAAAUUUCUGAGACUAAUCAGGAAAGGGAAAGGGAAGGAGGACAGGGUGGAUUAAAAAAUUUGCACAGUAAUUUCCCCAUUUUCUUGUCCAUUCUUGGUCCAUUAAUAAAGGAUUCUAAUUGAAUAUGUGCAGCAAUAGAGCCUAUGUAUCAUUUCAAUGACUCUGCAGUUGUGUGAGUACACAGCGGAGUUAAUGCCAUCAAUGAACUGGCCCUGCAAUACAUUAGGAGGUAGGGGUAGGUUUCACAUCCCAUCCCCUUCCACUCAGCUAUUGGCACCCUAUUUCCUUGAGUACCUCCCGUCUUCAGAUUUCUUUCCAGGACAUGGAGAAAUAUGAAAAAAGACCAACAUUUGAGAAAAAGAGAUAGUCAGAGGAAGAAGAUAAUUGGAUGAAGAAGGAAAGAUGGUGGGUCAUCUUUCAAAGGUUAUUAGAUUGAAAUUUGAAUUUGGUACAUGAGGAUGGCUGUGGAAUUGCUUCUCAGCCUUUGGGCUAACAUCAAGUGGAUAACGGCUGUGGAUUCAAAAGUAUAUAUAAUACUAAGCCUGUAACAUAAUUUCCAUUCAUGGCCUCCACACUCUAUAUGUGUUUAUACUAAUUAAUGCCUUUGAGUGGAGCCAUUUUCAUCAUCCAAUUGGUUCCCAGAGGCAUAAACUGAAACUAACUUUUCUAGGUAGAAAUCAGAUUUGAUGAGAUGCAGGACUACUCAGUUUCUCAUUCAGAUUUGAUGAGAUGCAGGACUACUCAAAGCUGAAGGGAUAAGUCCAACUGAAGGGCUAAGAGUAACAAACAUAAUUUCAUAUGUUUACUUUUUACUGAUUUUAGUCUUAUUUCUUAUAACUCAGAAUCUCAGUGAUUUUCAAAUCUAAGUAAAAAAACCACCCAUGUCAAUAUGAUCACAAAAAAUUUCACAAGAGUGAGGGCUCCUGUCAUGUCUUUAUGAAGAAAACUUCUUUGAUUGACAUACCUGCACUCUGAGGUCAGGAAAAGUUCCUAGGAGGUUAUUCAGAAAGUGAAAGACUUGAAUCUUGGCUUAGCUAUGUCUCAGUUAAGGAAUAAGAACAUUUUUUAAAGUAGCUACAAUAUUUUUAAAAUUGAAAUAAAAUGUUUAUUUUAGAAUAGUUUUAUAAUUACUGAAAACUUUCAAAGAAAGUACAGAGAAUUCCCAUACACACCACAAUCAGUUUCCCUCAUUAACAUCUGGCAUUAUUACUAUAGCAUAUGGUCACAACUCAUGAACCAGUAUUGCUAUAUUGCUUAUUAACUGAACUUUAUUUAAAUUGUAUUAGCUUUUCUCUAAUGGGCUUUUUCUGUUUCCAGAUCCUGUCUAGGACAGUAGAUUACAUUUAGCUGUUGUGUCUCCUUAGGCUCCUCUGGGCUAUGCCCCCUUUUCAGGCUUUCCUUGCUUAUUCAUGACCUUUACACUUUGGGGGGCUACUGGCCAGGUAUUUUGUACAAUGUUCCUCAAUUCGGUUUUGUCUGAUGUUUUCCUCAGGUAGGUGGGUGUAUUAGUCCAUUUUCAUGCUGUUGAUAAAGACAUCCCUGAGACUGGGAAGAAAAAGAGUUUUAAUGGACUUACAAUUCCACAUGGCUGGGGAGGCCUCGCAAUCAUGACAGAAGGCAAGGAAGAGCAAGUCACAUCUUUUGUGGAUGGCUGCAGGCAAAGAGAGAGCUUGAGCAGGGAAACUCCUAUUUUUAAAACCAUCAGAUCUCAUGAGACUCAUUCACUAUCAUGGGAACAGUGCAGGAAAGACCGGCUCCCAUAAUUCAGUCACCUCCUACUUGGUUCCUCCCAUGACACAUGGGAACUGUGGAAGUUACAAUUCAAGAUGAGAUUUGGGUGGGGACACAGCCAAACCAUAUCAGUGGGUUAUGGUUUGGGGAAGAAAACCACAGAAAUUUUGUGCCACUCUCAACAUUAUAUAUUAAUCUACAUGACUUGUCACUGAUGAUUUUAAAAUUGGUCACCUGGAAAACAUAGUGUUUCCUGGGCUUCUCCACUGUGAAAUUAACUGUUCCUACCACUUGCCUCUCCCUACUGUGCUAUUUGGAAAUGAAUCACUAAGCCCACACUUAAGGGAUGGGGAGUUAAGUUUCACCUCCUCAGGUAGAGAGUAGUGCCUAAACAAAUGAUUUAAAUUUUUUCUGUUGAGGAAAUCUGUCUUUUAUUUCCAACUUAUUUAUUUUUUCAAUAAUUUAUUUUUAUCAAUAUAGGCCCAUGGAUAUUUGUUUUAUAUUUAGAAAUAUAAUGAAGUAAUAUGUUAUUUUAUUUUAUUCUAUUUUUUGCUCCAAUUGUUCCAAAUUUGGCUAUUCAGAGCUCUUUCAAUUGGCUCCUGUGUCCUUUUGACAUAUUACCAUUGUUUUGUCUUCUGCACGUUUUCUUACUUUCUGAUACUACAAGAUGAUCUGCAUCCUGCACCAGCCCUAGAAUCAGUCAUUUCUUCAAAGAGAAAUUGGAGCAUGGUGUGGGAGACCAUGAUCCUGGCACAAGGUAUACAAUUAUUUUAAAAUAAUUACUUUUUGCUUGUAUGUGGCUGAUUAUUUUCUUUUGGACAUUUUUGGAGAGACUUUCAUUCAAAUUUAUAUCUGCCUCAAACUACAUACCCAUAAUCCAGGUGGAAAGGCUCUAAUCUUAGUCAUUUGGCAGCCAGGAAGAUGGAGGCCUCUUUGCAACAUCUGUUCCUGUGGUAACAGCAGCUAGGACUAAAUAGCACAUUGGCUUUUAAAGUCCUUUUAUUGGGAAGUGACACUUCUCCUCCUGGUGGCCAUGUUUCACUUCAAAGUGAGUGAGGCUGUGCUAUCCUACCAGGUACCAGGGAAGAUGAAAAGAUAGAUGUAUUUAACCAAAAUCAUGAAUAUCUACUGCAAUAGUUUUUGUCACAAUUUUUCCCAGUGGAAAUAUAAUGAAAUUGAUAUUUAUGUUAUUUCAAAUUAUCUAGUAUCCACAUUAGGGAAGCACAAAGAAGUAGGUUAAAUUAGUAUUCAUUAUAUAUUUUAUUUAACCCAAUUAUACCCAAAAUAUUAUCAUUUUAACAUAUAAUCAGUGUAAAUUAUUAGUAAGAUUUUUUCAUUCUAUGUCUUUGAAAUUGGUUGUGUAUUUUACACUUCAAGUACAUCCUCGUGUGAACCAGUCAUAUUUCAAGUAUUUCAUAGAUACAUGUGACUAGAGGUUGCCAUUCUGAACAGCGUGUGUAAAGACAGUGUCUGCCACAUAGUAGGCAUUUGACAUUAUGUGUCAAAUGUUAAAUAACUGUAAACCAUAAAUGUUUUUAAAACAGUUGAACUCCUUUAUCGUACUAAUACUGCUUGGAUCAUGUUUUGUUUCUUCUCUAAUUCUUUCCUCCUGUGUAUUUCUCCCACUUCUUUAGAUCUAACCUAAAUUUCAGAGAUAUUUGUGAAAAUUAGAUUUCAAAACUUCCUCAGAAAACCAUUACAAGUGUCUUAUUUUGUCAUAUAUUUAUCUGUUUGCUGAAGGUGUCUAGUUUUAUAUCUACAUCUAAAAUUUCUUGCUAUAUUCACUGUACAACAUUUUUGCAUAUUUAGGGACCACAGGGCUUUUCAGCAUUAUGCCAAAUUUAAGCUGAAUUUAUGAAAUUGAUGCUAAAAUGUUAGGAUUAAAUUCAAAGGUAAUAUCCAGGAGAGUAUAAAAUGCUCAAUUGUAGCUCUAAGGGCAGGAGUUAUGUCUACAACUGCUCAAUAAAGCUCUGUAAUGUAAAAUAGCUCUCUAUUGCCAUGACUUCCACACUUUUAUCUAGCAUUUCCCAAAAUGUGAACAAUCUGCCUGUUUGGUAUACCUGUUUAUUUGAGAAAGUUGGAUACAUCAUAAAGAAACAUAAACAUGCUAAAUAAAAAAUCAAUUUUCUCAAAAGCUAUGGGCCACAAAUAAGAGAUACACUUGCUAAAAAAAAAAAUUAUCUAUGCUCAUUUACCAUGUUCAGCAGCAUCUUGUAACACCAGACUGGCAGUCUAGCAAUUUGAUAAAUAAAAAUCUUCUUUAUGGGAAAAGGGUUUAACUUAAUAUGGUGCUGUCUUUGUUUCUGAGUUGUGAUGAAAAAAUAAAGGGCCAGUGGUUUGGCAAGUCAUUUCUUAUUUGUUAUACUCUUAAGUGUUAUUUACAUAAGAAGGUUUAUUUUAAUGUGGUGCUGACUUUAUUCUGAGUUAUGAUAUUAAACACCUGUAAUCAGGGAAAAAUAAUAUUAGUUUCGGACAGCCACAGGAAUGUAGAUGACGCUCCUCCAACUACAGGGAGUGUAAUUGCUAAGAGGCCUCGGCUGCUUCGUACUCUUUUGCAGUCACCCCAUGCUUCCCACGAGCUGUUCAUCCAAUGAUUGAGCAUGGCAGGGAUGGAUACUGAAGUAGAAAGAUUUGUGGGAGUCACAAGACACUUCUGGUAGCCUGUUUUGGCUUGAGGACCCCUGAACUCUUUCCCAAACUUUCCUUCCACGCAACCUCUCUCAUCUUCUUUUUUCCACUUGGAGUUAGACUUGUUUGUACUUGGACAGUUCUCCCAGGCUUGUCUGGUCCCUUCCCUAUUUUGUCUCACAUGGAUGUUUCCUUGAAUAAAAUCCUUAUAUAUAUAUUUUACCCACUCUCAACACCUGCUUCUUGGAGGACCUGAGCUAAUAUAAGUGAUUUGCAAUCCCUUGGCUUUUUUUUAUUUUUGAAUGAGAGAGUUAUAAUUAUCAGAGCAGGGUGUGGAGCAGUGUGAGGAGGGUGCGCUGUGGGUGCUGGUGGCCUCAGCCUGGUGCAGGGAGCUGGAGACAGAGCAGGGUGAGAAGAGCACUAAGAGAGGAGGGCAGUGGUGUUUGCAAUGGUUCGGCAUGUCAGAAGAGGGACAUUGGGGAAGAGGGACAGUGGUGACAAUGGUAGAUUCAUAGCAUUUGGGAGGAUUGAAACAAAAAAUUAAUUUAGGAUAAUGACAGCUGUAAUUCUCACUCUCAGUGGUGGAACUUACAACUAUGGAAAGGGAAAGUAUUAUAUAAAACUUGAGGCCAAGCGUGGUGGCUCACGCCUGUAAUCCCAGCACUUUGGGAGGCCAAGGCCGGCGGAUCACCUGACGUCAGGACUUUCAUCAUGGCCAACAUGAUGAAACCCUGUCUCUACUAAAAUUACAAAAAUUAGCCGGGCAUGGUGGUGGGCGCCUGUAAUUCCAGCUACUCGGGAGACUGAGGCAGAAGAAUUUCUUGAACCCAGGAGGCGGAGUUUGCAGUGAGCAGAGAUUGCACCACUGCACUCCAGCCUGGGCAGAAGAGCAAGACUCCAUCUCAAAAAAAAAAAAAAAAACAAAAAAACCCGAAAACAAAAAAACCUGUGGUAUUGGAUUUGAGUUGUAUCUAAACUGGCAGUUUUCAAUGUGGAAAUGUGGUUAAAAAUGUGUGUACAUUUACAAUACAUAUUCCCCAACACUGUCUGAGAAUAACAAUUCUUAAAUAAUAAUGAGCAUGCCUAACAUGCAGAUGCUGGUUUCUCUCCAACAUUCUUCGUUAAAGGAACUAGGGCUCCUUGAGGAAAUAAAUGGCUGCUUCCAGAACUGGAGAAGGGAAAGCAGCUUGGACCAUUAUUUUGCAUCAGAAAGUAUGGAGAUAUCAAAGAAUGAUAGGGUCAUGUUGUAAUGCCAAAGGUUCUCGCCUUAGCCAUGCCAAAGAUUUGGUGUGGCGGCAGCCCGCGGUGAGAGAGAGACACAGAUCGGACCGAGAGAAAAAAAGCUGUAGGCUUUAUUGAGCGGAGUGACAGUACAAAGCUUCCACAGAGUGGAAGGGGUCCUGAGCAGGUAACCAGUGUUAGAUUUUUCUAUCACCUUUUAUUUAAGGUGGGAAAUACGUGCAGUGGGAAGAUGCUACCAGAGCGAGAAACAAAGACAAUUAACACGUCUCAGAUCUUGAGGAAAACCAGAAUUGUAACUCAAGUUUUAUCUACUUUAUGACCUUGCAGCGGCAUGGCAAAGGAGACAGGAUCUCACAGGAUUUUACAAAUUGUGUUUACAAAGAAUUGGAAUUGGGAGCGUAGAUACGGUCUGCUGGUCACAGAAAAAUGGGCUUUUAGCAGUCCUUUUAGUUUCAGAGGAGGGGGAAGGGAGAGAGGGAGAGAGGACACAGGGAAGCUUGCAGCAAAAUUUUUCCUGUUUAUAGCUUUCUUGCGGAAGAAAACACAUGCACAAAUUCUGAUGUUAGGAAUAUUUUAAGCACUUAUCUUCAAUAUUACUCAUUCAGGACCAAAGUUAAGUCCUGAUGUAGGAAAUGAGUGAGUUUCACAGCUUUCUGAGCCCCUACUAAACCCAGGAAGCCCACUGGCACCUCCUCUCAAUGUCAAAAGGACACAAAAGCCAGCUUGAAGAGAUUCCCACUGACCAAAUUUGGGACAAUUUCAUGAACGAUUCAUAAUAAUAAAUUUUAAUCAAUGAAAUAAAAUAAUCCAUCUGUCUAUACUAGCAUAAAGAAAGAAACAAAGAAGAGAUAGUGUUCCUUCAUAUAAUGUCAACAAAUGUGGAAGAAUAAUAGAAGCAGGAAAAUCACAAUUGGAUAGCAAUUGUAACAAUAAUAAAUUCAGCCAAGAAAUAUCAGGGGAUGCUAAAACUGGGUGCAGAUUUAAAGAGGAACAAAAUAUUUACACGUCUCUAAGUAUUUCCUCACAAAAUACUUACUGAUAAUGGACAAAAGAACAACCACUGAGUAAAACUUCCUGGCAGGUACCCUCUUGAAUCAAAUGAUCAAAGUUAAGAACUCCAAUAAUGGGAAAAUUCAAAGUCAUGGGUGUCUUAAUAGAAUUAUGAGAACAUAGCAUCAUUACCGGGGGUCCUUUCUCACACAGCUUCCAAGAUGGCGGCGGACUGCUUCCAAGAUGGUGACAAGCCUCGUGUUCUCUGACCUGGGGUUCUUGGCCUCACAGAUUCCAAGGAAUGGAAUCUUGGGCCAUGCGGUGAGUGUUAUAGCUCUUUUAGAAGCCGUGGGUCACGGAAGAGAACCGUGGAACCCAGUGACUAGUGUUCAGCUCGAUUAGGACGAACCCAGGCACUUAGCCAUGCAGGAACAAUGGCGAGCCUAAUUUAGCCCGAUCCGGAAUGGCAGUGGGCGCCUUGCUGGAUCAGGAGCACAGGGGACACCCUGCCGGAUGCGGAAGAAUGGAAGUCAGUGGCGGGUCUGCCAAGGCCGCAAAACAGCAGUGGUGGAGGGCGAGCGAAAGCUCAGCUCCAGCCGUAACAAACAUGGACCAGAAGAGUGCAGUUGCAAGAUUUAAUAGAGUGAAAACAGAGCUCCCAUACAAGGGGAGGGGACCCAAAGGGGGUUGCCAUUGCCGGCUGGACUGCCUGGGUUUAUAUCCCAAUCCUUGUCCCUCCUGCUGUGCUCUCAGGCAAUAGAUGAUUGGCUAUUUCUUUACCUCCUGUUUUUGCCUAAUUAACAUUUUAGUGAGCUCUCUGAUUGGUUGGGUGUGAGCUAAGUUGCAAGCCCCGUGUUUAAAGGUGGAUGAGGUCACCUUCCCAGCUAGGCUUAGGGAUUCUUAGUCGGCCUAGGAAAUCCAGCUAGUCCUGUCUCUCAGUAUCUUUUUGUGAAAUUGCUCCCCAAGAUGUCUAACCUUGCUCUCCUCAUGAGCCAACAUCAGAAAAAUCCCAAACGGAGGUGCAUGAAAAAAUACAUAGAAUGGCUUAGAUCCCAGUUGUAAUUUUCUUCAGAUGAAACAGCCUGAAAGAAUACUGAAAAUAGAAGAUAGUUGUAAUGGAAAUUUACUCAAGAACCUGACUUUCUCAUUUGCUAUGAAAAAAAGAGCAAGUGCGUAUGUCAGAUUAGAUUCAAUAUGUCGGAGCUGAUAGAUUUUCCCCAUGGUAGUGUUUGCAGCUGUCCAGAGAUUCUUGUUUCUUCCUCAGUCAAGAAGUUAAUAUCUGAGAUUCUUGCAUAUUUAUAGAAAAUAUUCAAACUCUAUCUGAAUAAGCCUUCUGGGUUUAAAUUUAAAUGAUUAAAAUUUAUUUAGAAUUGAUUUAUGUAACAGAAAUAUAUUUUUCAUUAUUUUUACUUUUUUUUGCUAUUUUUAAUACUAAACACCAUAGGUAACAGAUUUAAAGACAAUCAGAAAAGACAGUCUUCAAAGUCUUAUGAAUAAGCCUCCCUACUACUUGUCAUGGGCAUGUAUUUAAAAAGGGCCAGAAAAAUAAGAAAAGAGGGACCAGAAGCAGAAACAAGAGAAGAGCAAAGGGAAACAAGAUAAGAGGGAGAAGAACAGGAGGGGAAGAGGCAGAGGAGGAGGAGGAAGAGGAAAAGGAGAAGAUGGAGAGAGAGAGGAAGAAGCAAAGAGAGAGGAGGUGAGGGAGGAAAGAGGAAGUGAAGGAGGAGCGAGAAGGAGGGGGUGAAGAAGGAGAGAGAGAAGAGAUAGGAGGAGAGGGAGGAAAGAGAAGGAGAGAGAUGGAGAAAAUAGAUGAGGAGAGGGGAGGAGGAGAGGGAAAAGAAAUAUAAGGAGGCGGGGAGAGAACGGAAGAGGUGAAGGAACAGAGGGAGAAGAGAGGAGGGGAGAGAGGAGAUAGGAGGAGAGGGAGGAAAGAGAAGGAGAGAGAUGGAGAAAAUAGAUGAGGAGAGGGAGGAGGAGAGGGAAAAGAAAUAUAAGGAGGCGGGGAGAGAAAGGAAGAGGUGAAGGAACAGAGGGAGAAGAGAGGAGGGGAGAGAGGAGAGAGAGGAGGAGGGAAAGGAGGAGACAGAGGAGACAGGAAGAGGAGUAGAGUGAGGAUAGGGAAGGGAGGGAGAUAGAGGAGAUAAGGAAUAGAGGGAGGAAGAAGAAAGGGAGGAGAGGAAGGAGGAGGAAUAAAACACAUUUAUUCACCGUUCUUCAUGUGCAAGAAUGAAACUGACAUUUAUUAGCUUCAUAUCAUGUGCCAGGCACUAUUCUAGAUGCUGUUAUUAUUGUUUAGCAAGUGAGAAAACGGCUGAAGGUAAUUUUAUAUUUUGUUCAACAGUUAGUUAGAUGGUGUAUCCAGAUAAGAACUGAGACCUGUCCUCUCAAGCUCAAGCUUUGUCUUAAGUGAUACUGGUAAAUAGUUAAAUAGCUAUGUAACUGGUGAAAUUCAGGAUGGAAAUGCCCACCAGAUGGCAGGAUCUAGGUGAUUCAGUGCUCUUUUUUCAAUAUAAUUUUCUUAUUUUUAGAAUUUCACCAAACUUAUCCAAAGUCUUAAAACUCAUUGACUUUAAGACAUGGCAUAUAAAAAUGUGACUGUCUUGGAAUAGCAUCAAAGUAACAUUGAUAUUUUUGAUAAUAUUCAGUUUGUUACAGUAUACUUGUGUUCCAAUGCUUCUUGAGUAAAGUAAAACAUUACCUUAAAAAUAUGAAUGUCACGCGAUGUUUAACUUCCUGUGCCUGGCUCAUUUCACUUAACAUAAUGAUCUCCAGUUCCAUCCAUAUUGUUGCAAACGACUAGAUCUCAUUCCUUUUUAGCACAUUUUGCAGACUCUAUAAAUAUAUACACCAUGUACACACAAAAAUUUUUUUAAAAAUUAAAAUUCCUCUUAAAAAUUGAAAAGAACCCUGAAUGUACUGAAAUGGUUAAUGAAUAGUGUUAGUCAAAUACAGUGCUAUAAAAAUUAUAUGACUGAAAUGUCCUCCAAGUUAUUUUUCAUUUAAAAGAUCAAGAUACUGCUGUAGAGUAAAAUGCUCAAAUAUUGACUGAAUGGUUCAGUAAGUUUUGACAAAUAUAUACAUAUAUAUACAUUCACUCAAGACACAGAGGAAUUUCAUCAAUCAAGCUCCUUCCUGGCCAAUUUAUACCACCCUUGAUGCUAGAACUAUUUGUAUUAGUGUAAGUGUUAGAUUUGCCCAUUCUAAACCUGCAUAUAAAUGGAUUAUACAGAAUGUUUGUUUCAUGAUUUCUUUCAUCCAGCAAAAUGUUUUGAUAGUCCUCCACAUUGUUGGAUAUAAAAGUAGUUUGUUCCUUUUUAUUGUGAGUAGUUUUCAUCUUAUAAAUAUAUGGUAGCAUGUUUAUCUAUUUUCCUGUUGAUGGAUAUGUAGGCUGAUUUUGGCCAUUAUGAAUAAAUCUAGUUGAACAUUC